CCUACGGGAGGCAGCAGUGGGGAAUAUUGGACAAUGGGGGAAACUCUUAUCCAGCGACGCCGCGUGAGGGAAGAAGGUUUUCGGAUUGUAAACCUCUGUCAGUGGGGACGAUAAUGACGGUACCCACGGAGGAAGCCACGUCUCACUACGUGCCAGCAGCCGCGGUACUCCGUAGGUGGCAAGCGUUGUCCGGAAUUACUGGGUGUAAAGGGAGAGUAGGCGGGAUGUCAAGUCAGAAGUGACAAUUAUGGGCUCAACUCAUAACCUGCUUUGGAAACUGAUAUUCUUGAGUGAAGUGGAGGCAAGCGGAAUUGCUAGGGUAGCGGUGAAAUGCGUAGAUAGUAGGAGGAACACCAGUGGCGAAGGCGGCUUGCUGGGCUUUUACUGACGCUGAGGCUCGAAAGCGUGGGGAGCAAACAGGAUUAGAUACCCCAGUAGUC
This 440-nucleotide ribosomal RNA is filed under the name uncultured bacterium. RNAcentral's name for it is "partial 16S ribosomal RNA". It matches the Rfam family "Bacterial small subunit ribosomal RNA", at positions 338 to 795 of the family's 1533-position model. The record is from RNAcentral.